Molecule: ribosomal RNA, 508 nt
Filed under: uncultured bacterium
Lineage: Bacteria
Description: partial 16S ribosomal RNA
Rfam family: Bacterial small subunit ribosomal RNA
Source: RNAcentral
AUUGAACGCUGGCGGCAUGCCUUACACAUGCAAGUCGAACGGCAGCGGGGGAGAAGCUUGCUUUUCCUGCCGGCGAGUGGCGAACGGGUGAGUAAUACAUCGGAACGUGCCCUGUAGUGGGGGAUAACUAGUCGAAAGAUUAGCUAAUACCGCAUACGACCUGAGGGUGAAAGUGGGGGACCGCAAGGCCUCAUGCUAUAGGAGCGGCCGAUGUCUGAUUAGCUAGUUGGUGGGGUAAAGGCCUACCAAGGCGACGAUCAGUAGCGGGUCUGAGAGGACGAUCAGCCAGCCUGGGACUGAGACACGGCCCAGACUCCUACGGGAGGCAGCAGUGGGGAAUUUUGGACAAUGGGCGAAAGCCUGAUCCAGCAAUGCCGCGUGUGUGAAGAAGGCCUUCGGGUUGUAAAGCACUUUUGUCCGGAAAGAAAUGGCUCUGGUUAAUACCUGGGGUCGAUGACGGUACCGGAAGAAUAAGGACCGGCUAACUACGUGCCAGCCGCCGCAGUAA